AACGAACGCUGGCGGCAUGCCUAACACAUGCAAGUCGAACGAGACCUUCGGGUCUAGUGGCGCACGGGUGCGUAACGCGUGGGAAUCUGCCCUUGGGUUCGGAACAACAGUUGGAAACGACUGCUAAUACCGGAUGAUGACUUCGGUCCAAAGAUUUAUCGCCCAAGGAUGAGCCCGCGUAGGAUUAGCUUGUUGGUGAGGUAAAAGCUCACCAAGGCGACGAUCCUUAGCUGGUCUGAGAGGAUGAUCAGCCACUCUGGGACUGAGACACGGCCCAGGCUCCUACGGGAGGCAGCAGUUGGGAAUAUUGGACAAUGGGCGAAAGCCUGAUCCAGCAAUGCCGCGUGAGGGAUGAAGGUCUUAGGGUUGUAAAGCUCUUUUACCCGGGCUGAUAAUGACAGUACCGGGAGAAUAAGCCCCGGCUAACUCCGUGCCAGCCGCCGCCGUAA
Molecule: ribosomal RNA, 449 nt
Filed under: uncultured bacterium
Lineage: Bacteria
Description: partial 16S ribosomal RNA
Rfam family: Bacterial small subunit ribosomal RNA
Source: RNAcentral